RNAcentral lists this ribosomal RNA (460 nucleotides) under uncultured bacterium. Its description in RNAcentral is "partial 16S ribosomal RNA". It matches the Rfam family "Bacterial small subunit ribosomal RNA", at positions 338 to 795 of the family's 1533-position model. The record is from RNAcentral.
CCUACGGGCGGCAGCAGUGAGGAAUAUUGGUCAAUGGACGAGAGUCUGAACCAGCCAAGUAGCGUGAAGGAUGACUGCCCUAUGGGUUGUAAACUUCUUUUAUAUGGGAAUAAAAUGUUCCACGUGUGGGAUUUUGUAUGUAACAUAUGAAUAAGGAUCGGCUAACUCCGGGCCAGCAGCCGCGGUCAUACGGAGGAUCCGAGCGUUAUCCGGAUUUAUUGGGUUUAAAGGGAGCGUAGGGGGAUUGUUAAGUCAGUUGUGAAAGUUUGCGGCUCAACCGUAAAAUUGCAGUUGAAACUGGCAGUCUUGAGUACAGUAGAGGUGGGCGGAAUGCGUGGUGUAGCGGUGAAAUGCUUAGAUAUCACGAAGAACUCCGAUUGCGAAGGCAGUUCACUGGACUGCAACUGACACUGAGGCUCGAAAGUGUGGGUAUCAAACAGGAUUAGAUACCCGGGUAGUC